RNAcentral lists this ribosomal RNA (559 nucleotides) under uncultured bacterium. RNAcentral describes it as "bacterial SSU rRNA". It matches the Rfam family "Bacterial small subunit ribosomal RNA", at positions 157 to 714 of the family's 1533-position model. The record is from RNAcentral.
CGAAGAAUAAUACCCCAUAGUAUCUAAAUUUCGCAUGUUAUUUAGAUUAAAGUUUCGGCGGUAAGAGAUGAGUAUGCGUUCUAUUAGCUAGAUGGUGUGGUAACGGCACACCAUGGCAACGAUAGAUAGGGGCCCUGAGAGGGGGAUCCCCCACACUGGUACUGAGACACGGACCAGACUCCUACGGGAGGCAGCAGUGAGGAAUAUUGGACAAUGGGCGAAAGCCUGAUCCAGCCAUGCCGCGUGCAGGAAGACUGCCCUAUGGGUUGUAAACUGCUUUUAUACGGGAAGAAACCCAUCUACGUGUAGGUGGCUGACGGUACCGUAAGAAUAAGCAUCGGCUAACUCCGUGCCAGCAGCCGCGGUAAUACGGAGGAUGCAAGCGUUAUCCGGAAUCAUUGGGUUUAAAGGGUCCGUAGGUGGAUUGGUAAGUCAGAGGUGAAAGCCUGCAGCUCAACUGUAGAACUGCCUUUGAUACUGCUAGUCUUGAAUUAUUGUGAAGUGGUUAGAAUAUGUAGUGUAGCGGUGAAAUGCAUAGAUAUUACAUAGAAUACCAAUU